RNAcentral lists this ribosomal RNA (468 nucleotides) under uncultured bacterium. Its description in RNAcentral is "partial 16S ribosomal RNA". It matches the Rfam family "Bacterial small subunit ribosomal RNA", at positions 28 to 507 of the family's 1533-position model. The record is from RNAcentral.
GACGAACGCUGGCGGCGUGCUUAACACAUGCAAGUCGAACGGAAAGGCCCUGCUUUUGUGGGGUGCUCGAGUGGCGAACGGGUGAGUAACACGUGAGUAACCUGCCCUUGACUUUGGGAUAACUUCAGGAAACUGGGGCUAAUACCGGAUAGGAGCUCCUGCUGCAUGGUGGGGGUUGGAAAGUUUCGGCGGUUGGGGAUGGACUCGCGGCUUAUCAGCUUGUUGGUGGGGUAGUGGCUUACCAAGGCUUUGACGGGUAGCCGGCCUGAGAGGGUGACCGGCCACAUUGGGACUGAGAUACGGCCCAGACUCCUACGGGCGGCAGCAGUGGGGAAUAUUGCACAAUGGGCGGAAGCCUGAUGCAGCAACGCCGCGUGCGGGAUGACGGCCUUCGGGUUGAAAACCGCUUUCGCCUGUGACGAAGCGUGAGUGACGGUAAUGGGUAAAGAAGCACCGGCUAACUACGUG